UUUAUCGGAGAGUUUGAUCCUGGCUCAGGACGAACGCUGGCGGCGUGCCUAAUACAUGCAAGUCGAGCGGACAGAUGGGAGCUUGCUCUCUGAUGUUAGCGGCGGACGGGUGAGUAACACGUGGGUAACCUGCCUGUAA
This 139-nucleotide ribosomal RNA is filed under the name Bacillus amyloliquefaciens. RNAcentral describes it as "partial 16S ribosomal RNA". It matches the Rfam family "Bacterial small subunit ribosomal RNA", at positions 1 to 135 of the family's 1533-position model. The record is from RNAcentral. Lineage: Bacteria; Bacillati; Bacillota; Bacilli; Caryophanales; Bacillaceae.